Molecule: ribosomal RNA, 465 nt
Filed under: Vreelandella stevensii
Lineage: Bacteria; Pseudomonadati; Pseudomonadota; Gammaproteobacteria; Oceanospirillales; Halomonadaceae
Description: partial 16S ribosomal RNA
Rfam family: Bacterial small subunit ribosomal RNA
Source: RNAcentral
CCUACAGGUGGCUGCAGUGGGGAAUAUUGGACAAUGGGCGAAAGCCUGAUCCAGCCAUGCCGCGUGUGUGAAGAAGGCCUUCGGGUUGUAAAGCACUUUCAGUGGGGAAGAAAGCCUUGGGGCUAAUACCCUCGAGGAAGGACAUCACCCACAGAAGAAGCACCGGCUAACUCCGUGCCAGCAGCCGCGGUAAUACGGAGGGUGCGAGCGUUAAUCGGAAUUACUGGGCGUAAAGCGCGCGUAGGCGGUCUGAUAAGCCGGUUGUGAAAGCCCCGGGCUCAACCUGGGAACGGCAUCCGGAACUGUCAGGCUAGAGUGCAGGAGAGGAAGGUAGAAUUCCCGGUGUAGCGGUGAAAUGCGUAGAGAUCGGGAGGAAUACCAGUGGCGAAGGCGGCCUUCUGGACUGACACUGACGCUGAGGUGCGAAAGCGUGGGUAGCAAACAGGAUUAGAUACCCUGGUAGUC